Molecule: ribosomal RNA, 497 nt
Filed under: uncultured bacterium
Lineage: Bacteria
Description: partial 16S ribosomal RNA
Rfam family: Bacterial small subunit ribosomal RNA
Source: RNAcentral
GAUGAACGCUGGCGGCGUGCCUAAUACAUGCAAGUCGAGCGAACGGACGAGAAGCUUGCUUCUCUGAGGUUAGCGGCGGACGGGUGAGUAACACGUGGAUAACCUACCUAUAAGACUGGGAUAACUUCGGGAAACCGGAGCUAAUACCGGAUAAUAUUUUGAACCGCAUGGUUCAAAAGUGAAAGACGGUCUUGCUGUCACUUAUAGAUGGAUCCGCGCUGCAUUAGCUAGUUGGUAAGGUAACGGCUUACCAAGGCAACGAUGCAUAGCCGACCUGAGAGGGUGAUCGGCCACCCUGGGACUGAGCCACGGUCCAGACUCCUACGGGAGGCAGCAGUAGGGAAUCUUCCGCAAUGGGCGAAAGCCUGACGGAGCAACGCCGCGUGAGUGAUGAAGGUCUUCGGAUCGUAAAACUCUGUUAUUAGGGAAGAACAUAUGUGUAAGUAACUGUGCACAUCUUGACGGUACCUAAUCAGAAAGCCACGGCUAACUCCGUG